This 497-nucleotide ribosomal RNA is filed under the name uncultured bacterium. RNAcentral describes it as "partial 16S ribosomal RNA". It matches the Rfam family "Bacterial small subunit ribosomal RNA", at positions 28 to 507 of the family's 1533-position model. The record is from RNAcentral.
GAUGAACGCUGGCGGCGUGCCUAAUGCAUGCAAGUCGAGCGAACAGACGAGGAGCUUGCUCCUCUGACGUUAGCGGCGGACGGGUGAGUAACACGUGGAUAACCUACCUAUAAGACUGGGAUAACUUCGGGAAACCGGAGCUAAUACCGGAUAACAUGUUGAACCGCAUGGUUCAACAGUGAAAGACGGUCUUGCUGUCACUUAUAGAUGGAUCCGCGCCGCAUUAGCUAGUUGGUAAGGUAACGGCUUACCAAGGCAACGAUGCGUAGCCGACCUGAGAGGGUGAUCGGCCACACUGGAACUGAGACACGGUCCAGACUCCUACGGGAGGCAGCAGUAGGGAAUCUUCCGCAAUGGGCGAAAGCCUGACGGAGCAACGCCGCGUGAGUGAUGAAGGUCUUCGGAUCGUAAAACUCUGUUAUUAGGGAAGAACAAAUGUGUAAGUAACUAUGCACGUCUUGACGGUACCUAAUCAGAAAGCCACGGCUAACUACGUG